GGUAAAUUGGGACCAAGCCUACGCUACGCUACAGACUACAGUAGACAUCAGGUACAUACUGUCUGUACAGGUUGUUUGCUGAGUCUGACUGUGCGUGGGGACAAGCCCACGAAUCCCUUCUAAAGUUCUAUUCCAGUUCCAGUGCCCAGUCAAUGCAUCAUUGCAUGGCAUGCAUGCAGUGGAACAGCAAACGCCACAAACAUGUCACACCUCGAGCUCGCGCAGCAGCCAACGGCAACGAACGAGAAAGCCUGCUGCUAGCUGGGCAGUGCUGCAUGACACAUGUGACUCAGUGACCUGGUGACAGACUCGUCACUCAGUGAAUGUCACUGCACUGACUUGGUCUCCAGUCUGUCUCGAAAAAUUACUGAUUGUUGAAUACAAUGUCAUACUGCAUUGUAUAAUAUUAUUGUAAUUAUUAUUAUUCACUGGUUUUGAGGGAAAGACACAAACGGGAAAAGUCUGAAGACAAAAUUGACUGUCACCACCAGGACUCGAACCAGAGCCCCUCGCUUGUAGCCGUAAUUAUUACUGAAGUAUUAUUAGCGUAUGCCCAAGCCAGGCAAAGGGCAGGUGAGAUGUGAACCUGGGAUAAAAUGAAUAAUAUUAUUAGGAGGAUAGAGCCUUAGAGGUAAGAUUCGAACACGUAAGUAUACAAAUCAUGCAUUAACGUUGUAUCUAUUCUAAUCGCUUUUACGCAGUAUUCGUUUGGAGUGGAAAACAUCAGUGCCACUGUUCCUUGGUUGAGUCAAAGACCAGUGGCGAGUGAGAGAUACAGAACGUCAGAAGUAAAAAGAGAAAAUGAAAAUGACGUUCACUGGAGUAUUCCAAGCCGGAUUUUGAGACACCCUGCUUCUCAUUCGUUGUCGCGUCCCCACACAGCACACUGCCACAGUGAAGCUAGCAGUACCGUGGCGCAAUAAUUGGUAUUUGCUGACAGUGGGGUGAAACCCACCAGCCAACCGGGGGCCGGAUUGUACAACUGGAACCUCUCUGUCUCGCUCACGUCCACGCACGUGCAUCCCUGGAUAUGGCCCUGGGUACGCCUAUAAUUAAUUUAAAAGCACAGUAUGUGUAUGGCUGUUAUCACUGCUGUAGCGCAGUAUCUACUUUCCUCGCCGUUUGUGCUUGUGUUGUCAUGUAUAUGUAGUAAUGCACACCCGCCAUGACGUGCUUUGCACUUCUCUACGCGCGCUGUCACUAUGUACCGCGCUUUGCUUGCUUGCCUCCUUCUUUUAUACUGCUGUUCUUUCCAUGUCCACUUCAUUCCUGAUGAUGGUCAUAAAGACCGAAACGUUGUAACGAUACCAAUGGAUUUGUGUGAAAUGCAGUGCU
This is a long non-coding RNA of Sycon ciliatum, 1335 nucleotides long. RefSeq lists it as uncharacterized. The record is from RefSeq and is a predicted model, not a curated record. NCBI's taxonomy places the organism in Eukaryota, Metazoa, Porifera, Calcarea, Leucosolenida, Sycettidae. The transcript is spliced from 3 exons.